Non-coding RNA from Leptosomus discolor (cuckoo roller), 104 nucleotides. Lineage: Eukaryota; Metazoa; Chordata; Aves; Leptosomiformes; Leptosomidae. The record is from Rfam.
GGGGUGUUAUGAUGUAAAGGCACACUUUUAUUUAAAAAAAAAAAAUAACAACAAACGGUGUCCCUAGUCUAGCUCAGAUUUUUUUUUUUGUACAGAAAAAAAAA